GGCUUCGGCCUGAGUGAAGCUUAUGAAAGCGGCGGACGGGUGAGUAACGCGUGGGCAACCUGCCCCAUACAGAGGGAUAGCCACUGGAAACGGUGAUUAAUACCUCAUAAGUCAGUNGGGNNNNNNNNNUUAGCUGACAAAGAUUUAUCGGUAUGGGAUGGGCCCGCGUCNNNUUAGCUAGUUGGUGAGGUAACGGCUCACCAAGGCGACGAUCAGUAGCCGACCUGAGAGGGUGAUCGGCCACNCUGGAACUGAGACACGGUCCAGACUCCUACGGGAGGCAGCAGUGGGGAAUAUUGCACAAUGGGCGCAAGCCUGAUGCAGCAACGCCGCGUGAGUGAUGAAGGCCUUCGGGUUGUAAAACUCUGUCCUAUGGGAAGAAACAAAUGACGGUACCAUGGGAGGAAGCCCCGGCUAACUACGUGCCAGCAGCCGCGGUAAUACGUAGGGGGCAAGCGUUAUCCGGAAUCACUGGGCGUAAAGGGUGCGUAGGUGGCCUAUCAAGCCAGAGGUGAAAGGCAGUGGCUCAACCAUUGUAAGCCUUUGGAACUGAUUAGCUUGAGUGCAGGAGAGGUAAGUGGAAUUCCUAGUGUAGAGGUGAAAUUCGUAGAUAUUAGGAGGAACACCAGUGGCGAAGGCGACUUACUGGACUGUAACUGACACUGAGGCACGAAAGCGUGNNNNNCGAACAGGAUUAGAUACCCUGGUAGUCCACGCCGUANACGAUNNAUACUAGGUGUCGGGCGNNNAAACUC
Molecule: ribosomal RNA, 755 nt
Filed under: uncultured bacterium
Lineage: Bacteria
Description: partial 16S ribosomal RNA
Rfam family: Bacterial small subunit ribosomal RNA
Source: RNAcentral